RNAcentral lists this ribosomal RNA (253 nucleotides) under uncultured bacterium. Its description in RNAcentral is "partial 16S ribosomal RNA". It matches the Rfam family "Bacterial small subunit ribosomal RNA", at positions 524 to 776 of the family's 1533-position model. The record is from RNAcentral.
UACAGAGGGGGCAAGCGUUAUUCGGAAUUAUUGGGCGUAAAGGGCGCGUAGGCGGCCUGGCAAGUGGAUGGUGAAAUCCCUCGGCUUAACCGAGGAACUGCCAUCAAGACUGCUUGGCUUGAGACCGGGAGAGGUGAGUGGAAUUCCCAGUGUAGCGGUGAAAUGCGUAGAUAUUGGGAGGAACACCAGUGGCGAAGGCGGCUCACUGGACCGGUACUGACGCUGAGGCGCGAAAGCGUGGGGAGCAAACGGG